Molecule: ribosomal RNA, 247 nt
Filed under: uncultured bacterium
Lineage: Bacteria
Description: partial 16S ribosomal RNA
Rfam family: Bacterial small subunit ribosomal RNA
Source: RNAcentral
GUCGAACGGGCGUAGCAAUACGUCAGUGGCAGACGGGUGAGUAACACGUGGGAACGUACCUCUUGGUUCGGAACAACACAGGGAAACUUGUGCUAAUACCGGAUAAGCCCUUACGGGGAAAGAUUUAUCGCCGAGAGAUCGGCCCGCGUCUGAUUAGCUAGUUGGUAGGGUAAUGGCCUACCAAGGCGACGAUCAGUAGCUGGUCUGAGAGGAUGAUCAGCCACAUUGGGACUGAGACACGGCCCAA